RNAcentral lists this ribosomal RNA (414 nucleotides) under uncultured bacterium. RNAcentral describes it as "bacterial SSU rRNA". It matches the Rfam family "Bacterial small subunit ribosomal RNA", at positions 355 to 775 of the family's 1533-position model. The record is from RNAcentral.
UCGAGGAUCUUCGGCAAUGGGCGCAAGCCUGACCGAGCGACGCCGCGUGUGCGAUGAAGGCCUUCGGGUUGUAAAGCACUGUCGAGGGGGAGGAAGCCCCGCAAGGGGUUGACCUAUCCCUGGAGGAAGCACGGGCUAAGUUCGUGCCAGCAGCCGCGGUAAGACGAACCGUGCGAACGUUGUUCGGAAUCACUGGGCUUAAAGGGCGCGUAGGCGGGCGAUCAAGUCAGGGGUGAAAUCCGUCGGCUUAACCGGCGAAGAGCUUUUGAUACUGGUCGCCUCGAGGGAGGUAGGGGCAUGCGGAACUUCCGGUGGAGCGGUGAAAUGCGUAGAGAUCGGAAGGAACGCCGGUGGCGAAAGCGGCGUGCUGGACCUCUUCUGACGCUGAGGCGCGAAAGCCAGGGGAGCAAACGG